UACGUGUGUAGGUACUUAUCCAUGAAGUAGGAUUUGUUGUGCAUGAAAGAAAGGAUCUUGUAUAUAUGCUUAUAUAUAUGGCUCUAACAUAUUUUAAUGGUCAUGUUACUAAUGGCGUGCCAUGGUGAAUGAAGUGUAACGCAGGAAUAGCAAAGAAGUCUCACCGCGGGUCGUAUGAUCAGAUGGAAAGCCGGAAUGUAGUACGAGAUACGAAGGAUCUUCAAGGGAUAGAGAUCAAGGACCGAGUCACAAGACAGAUUGUACGGGAACGUUGGUGUUGAAAUUUAGAAAACCCAUGUCAUGUAUUUAAUUGUAAAUGAGUCGGUUGAUGACUUCAUGUGAAAAAGUUGUGUUAAAAUGAAAUUUUAAAUAA
Long non-coding RNA from Helianthus annuus (common sunflower), 373 nucleotides. RefSeq lists it as uncharacterized. The record is from RefSeq and is a predicted model, not a curated record. Lineage: Eukaryota; Viridiplantae; Streptophyta; Magnoliopsida; Asterales; Asteraceae. The transcript is spliced from 2 exons.